AUCCGGGUUGCGGACAGUGUCUGGUGGGUAGUUUGACUGGGGCGGUCUCCUCCUAAAGAGUAACGGAGGAGCACGAAGGUUGGCUAAUCCUGGUCGGACAUCAGGAGGUUAGUGCAAUGGCAUAAGCCAGCUUGACUGCGAGCGUGACGGCGCGAGCAGGUGCGAAAGCAGGUCAUAGUGAUCCGGUGGUUCUGAAUGGAAGGACCAUCGCUCAACGGAUAAAAGGUACUCCGGGGAUAACAGGCUGAUACCGCCCAAGAGUUCAUAUCGACGGCGGUGUUUGGCACCUCGAUGUCGGCUCAUCACAUCCUGGGGCUGAAGUAGGUCCCAAGGGUAUGGCUGUUCGCCAUUUAAAGUGGUACGCGAGCUGGGUUUAGAACGUCGUGAGACAGUUCGGUCCCUAUCUGCCGUGGGCGCUGGAGAACUGAGGGGGGCUGCUCCUAGUACGAGAGGACCGGAGUGGACGCAUCACUGGUGUUCGGGUUGUCAUGCCAAUGGCACUGCCCGGUAGCUAAAUGCGGAAGAGAUAAGUGCUGAAAGCAUCUAAGCACGAAACUUGCCCCGAGAUGAGUUCUCCCUGACCCUUUAAGGUCCUGAAGGAACGUUGAAGACGACGACGUUGAUAGGCCGGGUGUGUAAGCGCAGCGAUGCGUUGAGCUAACCGGUACUAAUGAACCGUGAGGCUUAACCUU
This 692-nucleotide ribosomal RNA is filed under the name Escherichia coli. RNAcentral's name for it is "partial 23S ribosomal RNA". It matches the Rfam family "Bacterial large subunit ribosomal RNA", at positions 2238 to 2925 of the family's 2925-position model. RNAcentral also lists the same sequence under 2 other names. Lineage: Bacteria; Pseudomonadati; Pseudomonadota; Gammaproteobacteria; Enterobacterales; Enterobacteriaceae. The record is from RNAcentral.